RNAcentral lists this non-coding RNA (230 nucleotides) under Pseudoflavonifractor capillosus. Its description in RNAcentral is "T-box sequence". It matches the Rfam family "T-box leader". Rfam says of the family: Uncharged tRNA acts as the effector for transcription antitermination of genes in the T-box leader family. T-boxes are found upstream of many aminoacyl-tRNA synthetase genes and some amino acid biosynthetic genes usually in Gram-positive bacteria. The record is from RNAcentral. Lineage: Bacteria; Bacillati; Bacillota; Clostridia; Eubacteriales; Oscillospiraceae.
GCAAACGCAAGGAAGAGGAAGAGUAAUCCGGCCCAACCUGCCCAGAGAGCCGCCGUUUUGGUGAAAGGCGGAGAGGCGGACGGACGAAAAUCACCUCGGAGCCUCCGGCUGAACGGGCCUGACCCCACUAAGCCGGUACGGGCGGCGCCGUUAUCCGCCGGCUUGAGCGGUCGCAGCAUGCCUGCGGCAAGAAGAGUGGUACCGCAGAGGUUUGCGCCUUUGUCUCUUUU